AUUGAACGCUGGCGGCAUGCUUUACACAUGCAAGUCGAACGGCAGCGCGGGCUUCGGCCUGGCGGCGAGUGGCGAACGGGUGAGUAAUGCAUCGGAACGUGCCCAGUAGUGGGGGAUAGCCCGGCGAAAGCCGGAUUAAUACCGCAUACGACCUGAGGGUGAAAGCGGGGGACCGAAAGGCCUCGCGCUAUUGGAGCGGCCGAUGUCGGAUUAGCUAGUUGGUGGGGUAAAGGCUUACCAAGGCGACGAUCCGUAGCUGGUCUGAGAGGACGACCAGCCACACUGGGACUGAGACACGGCCCAGACUCCUACGGGAGGCAGCCGUGGGGAAUUUUGGACAAUGGGGGCAACCCUGAGCCAGCCAGGCCGCGUGCGAGAAGAAGGCCUUCGGGUUGUAAACCGCUUUUGUUCGGGAAGAAAUCCUCUGGGCUAAUACCCCGGGGGGAUGACGGUACCGGAAUAAUAAGCACCGGCUAACUACGUG
This 484-nucleotide ribosomal RNA is filed under the name uncultured bacterium. RNAcentral describes it as "partial 16S ribosomal RNA". It matches the Rfam family "Bacterial small subunit ribosomal RNA", at positions 28 to 507 of the family's 1533-position model. The record is from RNAcentral.